RNAcentral lists this microRNA precursor (99 nucleotides) under Canis lupus familiaris (dog). RNAcentral describes it as "mir-8834 microRNA precursor family". It matches the Rfam family "mir-8834 microRNA precursor family". Lineage: Eukaryota; Metazoa; Chordata; Mammalia; Carnivora; Canidae. RNAcentral also lists the same sequence under 1 other name. The record is from Rfam by way of RNAcentral.
AGGAGGAACAAUCCCAGUGGCUGCGGCAGCUCUGGAAACCUGGAUUCAGCUCCCGCAGGAACUACUCCCGUCUGCAGGGCCUGGAGGCUCCGGGGCGGG